GGGCCGUUAGCUCAGUAGGUAGAGCAUCGCCCUUUGAAGGCGGUGGUCGGAGGUUCGAAUCCUGCACGGCUCA
This 73-nucleotide transfer RNA is filed under the name Treponema sp. RNAcentral's name for it is "tRNA-Gln". It matches the Rfam family "tRNA". From Rfam's summary of the family: Transfer RNA (tRNA) molecules are approximately 80 nucleotides in length. Their secondary structure includes four short double-helical elements and three loops (D, anti-codon, and T loops). Lineage: Bacteria; Pseudomonadati; Spirochaetota; Spirochaetia; Treponematales; Treponemataceae. The record is from RNAcentral.